AGUUGGUCCAAUAAAAGAUAUUACCUCACCCACCCUGUCUCUCAAGAUAGAUUUGGCGCAUUUGGGAUAUUCCUUCAUGUUUUUCUUCCUAUGUGACAUCCUGUCUCAGAAGUAAAAACACACAUUUCCUUAUACGUGACGAUUUACUGGUAACAAAUCUCAUCAGCAACCUCUCGUCUGGUUCAAACUCUGGGAGAAGGCGAGUGAAGAAAACAAGUUGGAAAUUAGUGGAAGUAGUGAGAUUUGCAUGUCAUUCAAGGGUAGACUGAGUCACACUGUGAAGAUUGUGCUAAGCCAAAAUUCUGCACUGUGGCCUUUUGGAGGCAUCCCCUGGUGAACAGCGUAAAACGAAACAAAAGUGGACAAAAAAACAGAACAAAGGCUCACAUUCGAAGAAGGGAGGUUUUGCCCUGCAGUAGCCUGAGAAUGGAUAUACAACAAUUAAUUCUGUUGAACUUCAGCUUAAUCCGUACUGGAAAAAUGCCCAGAGUGGACAAAGAGCACAGUAGUCCCUAUCUUCAAGCACAAAAGGAGAUGUGCAAGAAUGUAGUAAUUACCGACCCAUCAAGUUAUUGAGUCAUGCAAUUAAAUGGCUGGGA
This 599-nucleotide long non-coding RNA is filed under the name Chrysemys picta bellii (western painted turtle). RNAcentral's name for it is "lncRNA (ENSCPBG00000014151.1)". Lineage: Eukaryota; Metazoa; Chordata; Testudines; Emydidae. The record is from RNAcentral.